This 107-nucleotide small RNA is filed under the name Marmota monax (woodchuck). Lineage: Eukaryota; Metazoa; Chordata; Mammalia; Rodentia; Sciuridae. The record is from RNAcentral.
GCUAGGCUCGGUGGAGCAUGCCUGUAAUCCCAGCAACUCGGGAGGAUGAGGCAAGAGGAUUGCCAGUUCCAGGCCAGCUUCAGCAACUUGGUGAGACCCUGUCUCUA